Vitis riparia (riverbank grape) is the source of this 1623-nucleotide RNA transcript. It is a transcript of the gene named cyclin-J18, with no coding region annotated. NCBI's taxonomy places the organism in Eukaryota, Viridiplantae, Streptophyta, Magnoliopsida, Vitales, Vitaceae. The transcript has 11 exons. The record is from RefSeq and is a predicted model, not a curated record.
UUCAGGACUCCCGGCAAAAUUCGCCGUUCAAGAUUAGCCGCCGAAGACCAAAAAUUGCAUUCACACUUGGUAUCACCCACAGAGAGAGAUGAGAGGCGAGUGGUUUUCGGGGAGUGUGAGACAUCGAGUGUUGGCGUUUCUCAUCCAAUCCGCUCAUCGACUUGAAGUUACUCCGAUUGUUAAAUACACUUCGUUAUCGCUCUUCGCUGACCGAUUCUACCCCCGUCUUCCCAGGUUAAUGCAGGUGAAGCACACAGGAAGUUGGCUAUUGCAACCCAUGAGAGAGAGCCAUUUGCAGCUGUUUGCCCUCAUUUCUAUAUGGAUCUCCAGCAAAAUACAUGAUUCUCGGCCACUUUCCAUGAAAAGUUUGAAAUCCUUGGGAGAUGGUAUUAUCAAUGAGCAACAUUUUACAACUCGAGAUUUUUUGGAAGCAGAAGUGGUCUUAAUGCAGGUACUGAAUUUUGAGAUUGGAGCGUCAAAUAUUGCUUUUGUGUUCCUUGAAGAGCUUCUUAUUCAGUUCAAGGGAAUAGCAAAAGUUGGGGAACUAGUAAACUUUGAAGCCUGCCUGGAUAUCAUGGAUCUUCUCUAUGAAAAGGAGGAGACAUCAGUUCUUUAUAGCUCUCCUUGUUCACUUGCUGCAUCUAUCUUGGUUGCUUCUUAUGUCAUCACUGUCCCUCGACAGAAGUGGGAGUUUCCUGUUCUGCCCUGGGUGAAGUUUGCUACCUCAUGCAAUGAAGAGGAUAUUAUAGAAAUUGUUGGGGGCAUUCUCAAGCACAUAUUUGGGCCUUCACUUUGCGUCUGAGGUAUGAGGUUUUCAUAUUUGGAGAGGCCAAAGUCAGUCUGGAUGUAUUCCAACUUCACUGGCAAGGAAUAAUGGAGGUUUUUAUCAGUUAAAGAAGUGCGAAGUAAUACACAAGUCUUGCUGGAAGGAGAAAGAGUCAUUCAGUACAAAGAUAUGAUUUGGAGUGACACAGCGAUGGAGUAAAUCAGCAAGAUUACACUGUUUUUGGAGGCAGCCAGGGUCGUCUACAAAUAUCAAAUUCGCAGCAGAGUACAAUUCCAGAUGGACAAUCUGAGUGUGAUCUGGUACAACCACGGCGCACCAAUCUCCAUGCCCCCUCACCCUGACCUUUUCCCAGGUAGGACCCGUCCAGCUCAGAAAAAUCUUAAUUUUCGUGCGGAUAAAGUGUUUUAUUUUUAUUUAUUUAUUUUCUUUUUUCAUUUUUUAAUGCAAUAGAAGGCAUUGAUUACGAGUCUUCAUAAAAGGGCUAAGCUCUUUUUCUUCGAUACGCUCAUGUGAAAAACUUUUACCUUAACUUUUUUUAUUAAAAAAAAAGAAAAGAAAAAGCUUUUACAUUUAAGCAUCGGGUGCUCCAUUCGUGCAUUCCAUGCCUUUUGGGUCGUUCGAUCGUUUUUGGAAAAUUUCGUCUGAGUCAAUCCGGUCAAAAAAAGCAAACCAGCAAUUCCACUGUUUCCACUCAGUAAUUACCUCACGAGUCACGUGUGAACAAUGGGGUGACUGUUUUUGACUUGCAUGUGAAGCAACCUUACUUAAAAUAAAUAGCAUAGCUCAUGGUUGAAUUUUUUGCUUUGAACUUUUCGAUUGGGUCAUUCUAGGGGAGC